GGCGGUAUAGCUCAGCUGGCUAGAGCAUACGGUUCAUACCCGUAGAGUCGAUGGUUCAAAUCCAUUUACCGCUACCA
This 77-nucleotide transfer RNA is filed under the name Hyphomonadaceae bacterium. RNAcentral describes it as "tRNA-Met". It matches the Rfam family "tRNA". Rfam says of the family: Transfer RNA (tRNA) molecules are approximately 80 nucleotides in length. Lineage: Bacteria; Pseudomonadati; Pseudomonadota; Alphaproteobacteria; Hyphomonadales; Hyphomonadaceae. The record is from RNAcentral.